UCAGUGUUUCUCAGUUGGUGCUGGAGGUUCUCAGGUGUGCUGGAUGACAGGUGUGACCUAUCUACUGAUUACAUGGAGGAGCACUUAAGCAGGAAGCUGCCAGCACUUCAAUGCCAGAGUGUUUGCCUUAGUGGUAACAAACUCAGCCACUUCUGAUUUUUGCUUUAUUUCAUGUGCUCUUAGUAACUUUUGAAUUUGUUCCUUCGCAGGUUUUUGCCUGAGGCUUUGUUUACUUUGCUAAGUCCUGACUUUGUUCUGGAGGACCUCUGAACAAUCUGGAUAAUCAUCUACUGAGUAUUGGAUCAACCUUCUUGUGGAUAUCUGUGCCUACAGGCUGUACCUUUUGGACACGAUCAAGCUGGUGGCUUCUCGCUUCCUCCAACCCCAGGACCAAGGCAUGAGCGUACUCUGUUCCUCCCUCCUUUGCAAACAUCGACACCUGUGCUUCAUCUGGUUUGCACCAAACCAGCAACUGAGGAGACAACUGAGCAACCUCACUUCGCAAGCUAAGACUCUGAACCUCUCUACCCCUAGUGGUUCAAGCAACAGCAAUUUAUUUGUGUUUCCAGUUCUCAUUCCUGAUUACUUUGCUGACAAUAAAAACACGUUAAACUUUA
Girardinichthys multiradiatus is the source of this 617-nucleotide long non-coding RNA. RefSeq lists it as uncharacterized. Lineage: Eukaryota; Metazoa; Chordata; Actinopteri; Cyprinodontiformes; Goodeidae. The record is from RefSeq and is a predicted model, not a curated record. The transcript is spliced from 2 exons.